This 369-nucleotide long non-coding RNA is filed under the name Prunus persica (peach). RNAcentral's name for it is "long non-coding RNA (PPER_LNC004703)". Lineage: Eukaryota; Viridiplantae; Streptophyta; Magnoliopsida; Rosales; Rosaceae. The record is from RNAcentral.
UGGCAAUCUACCUUCGAUCACUUGAGCAUUUAUGCCCAGAAGCGUCUGCGUGAUAAACUUCUUGGCAGCCAGUUCUGCAUAGACAGUUCCCGCAUCCCAGUUGGCAAAGAGCACCUUCACAAAAGUGAUUGCAUCAGGCAUGUAGGCAAAUCUAGCUUUCCACCAGGCAUCAAAGUCACCAGAACUGCAGGAAUUUGGCUCCCAAGAUGGAUAGAGAGCACCCACACUGUUGUUUAUCUUGUUCAUUGCACAUAUACAAUUCUUGUGCACCUCUAGAUCAUAUGCAUCUCUCCAGGAAGUAUCCCGGUUGCAGUAAAAGUUCAGUGGGAAGCAUACCUGCCGCCAAAUCUGUAUCAUCUAAAAUGCUCC